This 254-nucleotide ribosomal RNA is filed under the name uncultured bacterium. Its description in RNAcentral is "partial 16S ribosomal RNA". It matches the Rfam family "Bacterial small subunit ribosomal RNA", at positions 524 to 776 of the family's 1533-position model. The record is from RNAcentral.
UACGAAGGGGGCUAGCGUUGCUCGGAAUCACUGGGCGUAAAGCGCACGUAGGCGGCUUUCUAAGUCAGGGGUGAAAUCCUGGAGCUCAACUCCAGAACUGCCUUUGAUACUGGAGAGCUUGAGUCCGGAAGAGGUGAGUGGAACUCCGAGUGUAGAGGUGAAAUUCGUAGAUAUUCGGAAGAACACCAGUGGCGAAGGCGGCUCACUGGCCCGGUACUGACGCUGAGGUGCGAAAGCGUGGGGGAGCAAACAGG